UACGUAGGGUCCGAGCGUUGUCCGGAAUUAUUGGGCGUAAAGGGCUCGUAGGCGGUUUGUCGCGUCGGGAGUGAAAACACGGGGCUUAACCCCGUGCCUGCUUCCGAUACGGGCAGACUAGAGGUAUGCAGGGGAGAACGGAAUUCCUGGUGUAGCGGUGAAAUGCGCAGAUAUCAGGAGGAACACCGGUGGCGAAGGAGGUUCUCUGGGCAUUACCUGACGCUGAGGAGCGAAAGUGUGGGGAGCGAACAGG
Molecule: ribosomal RNA, 253 nt
Filed under: uncultured bacterium
Lineage: Bacteria
Description: partial 16S ribosomal RNA
Rfam family: Bacterial small subunit ribosomal RNA
Source: RNAcentral